This 440-nucleotide unclassified non-coding RNA is filed under the name Hevea brasiliensis (rubber tree). The record is from RNAcentral. Lineage: Eukaryota; Viridiplantae; Streptophyta; Magnoliopsida; Malpighiales; Euphorbiaceae.
GCAAAAACUGGACUCAUGCCCAUCCCUAGUCAAGGGCCAAAUAGAAGUCUCCCUGCCAACUAAAUACAGCGGCAAUUGGAUUCAAAGUUAGGAACCCAAAGAAGAGAUCUACUCCCACCAUUAACCACUUAAACUACCUUUCUAUCCUUUCCUCUGCCAGCCAACUGCCCCCAGUUCGUCUCCAAGGACUUCCUUUUCAGUUUCUUCUUACUCGUCCAUGAAAUGGGUAUCAAAAGUUUUGCCGUUCUAUUCAUUGCAACCUCAGUCUUCCUCUCUCUUUUGUACGUCCCAGGAAAACUAACCGUACGCAUUUCCAGAUUCAUCCAGUCAUCAACAUAAACAUGCUCAAAGGUCAAAAACCAUACCCGGUAACCUUUGCUUACUUCGUUUCUGCUUCUAGAGGUGAUGCCAAGAAGCUAACGAGGACCAUGAAGGCACUG